Molecule: non-coding RNA, 286 nt
Organism: Paramuricea clavata
Lineage: Eukaryota; Metazoa; Cnidaria; Anthozoa; Malacalcyonacea; Plexauridae
Source: the annotation of a GenBank genome assembly
AUUUUGUCCUAAUUUCAGUGAUGAUCUCAUUAAAAUUUGGUUUCAUAUUUAUCAUUUGUCACAACCAGAAAUGGAUCCUACUGCCUUUGAAAGCAUAUGCAGGGAUGCUGGUGCUGAGAAUCUCUAUAAUUGUAUAAAUGAUGCUAUAUGUUCUAAUAGAAUGUCCACUGAACGCAAACAGCUUAGUAAACUUCGAACAAUGGUCGUUAUUUAUAUCAUGGUAUAUUCACAGUCCCAAAGAUCCAACUCAUUUCAAGUAGCCUUGUCGAGAACUCUUCAACAGUUU